AGAGUUUGAUCAUGGCUCAGGACGAACGCUGGCGGCGUGCUUAACACAUGCAAGUCGAGCGGUAAGGCUCCUUCGGGGGUACACGAGCGGCGAACGGGUGAGUAACACGUGAGUAAUCUGCCCUUGGCUCUGGGAUAAGCACUCGAAAGGGUGUCUAAUACCGGAUAUGACAACUCCUCGCAUGGGGUGGUUGUGGAAAGUUUUUUCGGCUGGGGAUGUGCUCGCGGCCUAUCAGCUUGUUGGUGGGGUAAUGGCCUACCAAGGCUUUGACGGGUAGCCGGCCUGAGAGGGUGACCGGUCACACUGGGACUGAGACACGGCCCAGACUCCUACGGGAGGCAGCAGUGGGGAAUAUUGGACAAUGGGCGGAAGCCUGAUCCAGCAACGCCGCGUGAGGGAUGACGGCCUUCGGGUUGUAAACCUCUUUCAGUACCGACGAAGCUGUUCCUUUUUGGGGUGGUGACGGUAGGUACAGAAGAAGCACCGGCCAACUACGUGCCAGCAGCCGCGGUAAUACGUAGGGUGCGAGCGUUGUCCGGAAUUAUUGGGCGUAAAGGGCUCGUAGGCGGUUUGUCGCGUCGGGAGUGAAAACAUCCAGCUUAACUGGGUGCUUGCUUUCGAUACGGGCAGACUUGAGGUAUGCAGGGGAGAAUGGAAUUCCUGGUGUAGCGGUGAAAUGCGCAGAUAUCAGGAGGAACACCGGUGGCGAAGGCGGUUCUCUGGGCAUUACCUGACGCUGAGGAGCGAAAGUGUGGGGAGCGAACAGGAUUAGAUACCCCGGUAGUCC
RNAcentral lists this ribosomal RNA (787 nucleotides) under uncultured Nocardiopsis sp. RNAcentral describes it as "bacterial SSU rRNA". It matches the Rfam family "Bacterial small subunit ribosomal RNA", at positions 8 to 796 of the family's 1533-position model. Lineage: Bacteria; Bacillati; Actinomycetota; Actinomycetes; Streptosporangiales; Nocardiopsidaceae. The record is from RNAcentral.